RNAcentral lists this long non-coding RNA (2099 nucleotides) under Lathyrus oleraceus (garden pea). Its description in RNAcentral is "Pisum sativum (pea) long non-coding RNA (PSAT_LNC030353)". Lineage: Eukaryota; Viridiplantae; Streptophyta; Magnoliopsida; Fabales; Fabaceae. The record is from RNAcentral.
UUACACCAUGACACCAUUGCCACAUGAUUGGAAUUAAACCAAGGCAGAAUACUGCCCUUUAUGCAUCAUCAACAACAAGGUCCUUUCAUUAUCCGUUCCACCAUCCUGCAACACCAUGGGAAACCAGCAAAUGAAGGCAUCUCCAAUAGGAACAUAUCCAAAGCAGUAUCACACAUGGUCCCUGGGUUAGCAAUAGAUUGUCACCCGUGUUCAUUCAUACACCAGUCAGUAGCAGUAAAAGUCACAUACAAAAGAAAAGAAUCAGUCCAUGGCAGAGUUUGAAUACUGGAAUUUGAGCCAACCACCUCAUUGCAUGCAUUUCUUACACUUCAAGCAUAACAAACCAUCAGUCAAACCAAUGCAAGGAUCAGAAACCAAACUGAAGGCAAAGUUACACACAAACUGAACCUAACAUAGAAAUGUAUAACCAUGGAUCUAACAGACACAUGAUAGGAAGCAUGAGCAGGCCAAGAUAUUCACAUUAUAUUAAUGCAAUGGAGCAACAGUCAUCACAUACUGCAUCCAGUUUUCACAAGCCUACAAUCACUAACAUUGAACCAGGUCUAAACCAAAAUGGACAGAUUUGCACUUCUGGCUCCAUGACCAUUGCUACUGUAUGAUACCAACCAGUGAAGCAAAGGUUUUUUUUUAAAUUUGGUCUGUCAAAUGCAAGUGUUACCAUCAAAAUACAAGGCCAUUAAGUUGUAACAGGAACCAAGACCAUACACAUACACCUGUCAAAGUUGUAAUGGACUCAAGUAGACAUGCAAAAAUGGCAGUGGUGCAGAGCAAAAAAACCAAACAAGCAUACCAUACAUUUAUAAUAAUCUAACAUCAAAAUACCAACUAUAACAGGUGCACAACAAAAACCCACAACAGCAAUACGUAGCUCACAUCAUGCAUGGCAACAUUCAGCAACACAAAUCAUAUAGCACUUAACAACUUGCCUCACAACAUUGCAUCAUCAAGACAUCUAAUGUACAAGCUCCUUAUGGAAGACCUGUUAUGACCCUAUGACAAGCUGCAUAGCCAUGUCAUACCAAUCAUCAUUGUCAUGCCAAUCACAAUUAUGCAAUAACUUAAUUGAUAAAUGAGCACAAGCAGGCCAUGACAGAUUUGGAAAAGGAUCCACCUGCACCAACAACAAAGCCUACAACAAGGUAUCAAGUUCAGGCCUAGCCAAUCAACAAAAUGCAUUAGUGUACAACCAACUAACUAACCAAGCAAUAAUUGGCAGUUUCUCACUAAUUGGAAUUAAGUCUAACAGCUAACAAUAUUUUUAGUUAUGGCAACUCACCAAUCAAACACUUCUCCUCAAAGCCUAACUAACAAGUGAAUCCAACUAACUGCCCACUCAAUGAGUUAACAUAUUGAACUCACUGAGUUCAUCACAACUAACGCCUAAGCUGAUUCCAAACCUAAUCAUAACAAAAUCCUAAGGAAAGCUGACUUCAAACCUCACUCCUAUAUAAUUCAUUCUCCAUCACCAUUUUGAGGACAUUUGGAUUGAGCCACCAUAUUCUGCACUCUUUGAAUUUUCUCUUUCUCUCUCUAAACCUUACAUACACACACUGAUCAGAAGCCGUUGAAGCUAUUUAUCAGAGCUUCAAUUAGCUUGUGCUAAGCCUCCUCAUCAAUCCAAACUCCCUUAGUCCACCACUCUCGGAUUCAGAAGAAGGAGAAGAAGAGGAAUUCACAGCCAAUAUAGGAGUGAGUAGUUGAAACCAUUACCUGGAAGUAGACUCUUAUUCCUCACCAUUUCGGUAAGGCACCAUGAAGAACUUCUUAUUUUUAUUUAAUAAUCGUUACCACCGUGUAGAGUAUGAUGAGAGGGUUCAAAGCCCUUAUACCAAGGGCUUUGAAUCGCUGUAGUGGGGAUUUAAUUUGAAGAAGCAACAUUAGGGUUCUUGAGGUUCUUUGAUUCGGUUAGAGGUGUGGAGGAUUGUUUUCAUUGAAAUUAUUUAAGAAUCCAGUUAGUGUGCGAGAGGAUGGUCAUUUUGGUAGCUCCAACUUGCAUUUUGGUGGCCACCGCCGCCAAAAGCGUUUUCCAGCACAGUGGCCCGUGACAGAGGGCCGACGAGACAAAUGGAAGGGAAUGG